Equus caballus (horse) is the source of this 3777-nucleotide non-coding RNA. The record is from RefSeq and is a predicted model, not a curated record. NCBI's taxonomy places the organism in Eukaryota, Metazoa, Chordata, Mammalia, Perissodactyla, Equidae.
CCUCCGCAGUGAGGCUUAAAGCUCCAACCAGGUGACGUGGAGGGUCCAGAAGAAGCAUCAAACACACUGUCCUCGGGGACUUAAGGCUCACGACCCUCCAGCCAGUCAGCCCUCCCCAGAACCUCAGCUGCCUGGUCCUUACGCCCCCUUCGCCCCCUUCGCCCUGCCACAGCCAAACCCAGGGCGCACACCUGCUGGAGCCAGAAGAGAAGCGCAGGCGACAGGAAGCACUCCCAUCGGACCAGAUAACUUCUGGAACCUCACGAAGGGCACCGCGGGGCAGCAAUGACGGGCGGACCCGCCCCCACUGCAGGCGGCAGCAUCCUCCUCAUCCUCCCCGCCAGCGGCUGUGGAAGCGAGUGGGGGGUGGGGUCCGCGACAGUGACGGGAGAGCAGGCAGCGCGGUGAGGAUGGCACGCGAUUGCUUCCGCCGCUGAGAUCCUGGGGCCCUUUGCCGUGGGUGCCCACCCAGCCUUUCCUGCCGACGCUUCCGCAGCCAACAGCUGCUCACUUUUCGCUCCGUGUUUGUGCAUAUUCACACAUGACCUGCUAGAGCAAGCUGCGGUUCUGAAAGACUGGGUUAAACAGCAGGACGAGGGAACAUUAGUUAGCAGUCCUGAGCCCUUGCACGCUCUAGGACCUGGGCUAAGUGUAGACGCACGAUUACCCAUCUUGUCCUCACCAGCUUAUGGUGCAUGGUCCUUUAUCAUCUGAUGCAUCCUUCUGCCUCCGGGGGAGCUCAGGGACCCAACUGCUGGAGCAGCCCCAGAGUGCGACCUGGUCAGUUCCCCAGCCUGUGCUCUGUUGACUCCACCUCCAGCGCAUGUGCCUCAUUCAUUGCACAUCUCCAUUAUCACCUGUUGACCAGUAGCCAUCCUGCACUUAGCAGCUUUCUACUACUCUCCCGCCAUUAUCUUAUGCUGUGUGAAAAUCAUUAAGAUAUUACAGAUCACAAUCUCAAGGAAGGAAAGAUGAAGGCCAGCCUGCAGCUAAGAGGCAGGAAGACCUCAGCACAGAGGCAGUGGUCCCAUCUCCUGAUCCUCUGUCACUGGUCAUUCAUUCUCCGGCCCACACCCACAUGUUUUUAAAGAAUUUGUAAUGACAGAAAAAUGCUCAUCAUUAAAUGUUAUCUGUAAGAGGAAGACCCAGAACAAGAUCACGAGAUGUUAACGGUAGUUAUUGCUGGGUGGUUGGAUGACAGAUGACUUAUUUUCCUCUGGUCCUUUCCUCUAUCUUCCACAAAGAGCAUGUAUUCAUUUUAUAAUAAGAAAAUAAAUUUUAUUUGAAAAAAAGGCAUCACCAAAAAGACUGGGAGUAAGCACACCAAAAUAUUAAGAGUGACUGUCUUUGCACAGAACUGCAUGUUUCUAAUCACUAAACUUAGCCCUGGCUCAUAGUCUUGAAUUCUAUAGAAGAUAAUUUAUCUUAAAUUCUAAAUACUUGAAAUAUCCAAAGAACAAGAUUUGUGAUAAAAUAAUUGUUAAGAAAUGAUCAUCUGCUUUCAAAACCAGUGAAAUAACGGAGGGUGAAUUUGGCGUAGUGUCCUGUGAAGUUGAAUAGGGCUGGUCUUUGAGCUCAGCUCUCACCACAGCAUCGGAGACCAGGAUGCUCUUGACCUGCGUGGCUGGGAGUGAAGAUUGACGGGAGGGUGGAGCUGGAUGGUGCAAAUCUAUUUGCCUAUGUGUGUAUACAUGAUAAUAAAAUGUCUUGAAAAAAAGUCACUCUACUCUUUUUGCUCUUUCAGAAUUGAGAAAUCUAAAUUCUAACAUUACUGUCUAUCAGGACCCUAUAAUACCCUAGACAUUUGGGUAGAAUACUGGCCUCAGUAUUGCUUCUUUGGACUUUUUGAUUCCUCUGAUGUAGGUCUGAAUGAAAAUAUCUUUUAGUGUUCUGUUCUCACUUCUGAGGACCCUGGCCCAGGUACACAGGUCUGUCUGCAUUGUGAGUCAAGAACUGACAAGCAGGCAGACUGGCUGGCGAGUAAGGGCCCCCGUGCAUCCCUCUGGAAGGGCCUCUGGUUCCCAGGAGCCCUCCGUCUUCCUGCACAUCGUGGACCUCCCUUCCUGUACUCCAGCCGUGUGGAGUCACUGCCUGGGUAAGGGGAAAAAAUAACAGCAACAACGAACACUACUGUUGGGUCCUCGCUGAGCGCCACAUGUGCUCAAGUCCUCCUCACAACACCUCUGGGGUAGACACUAUGAUAAGCCACUUUUGCAGAUGAGAAUACUGGGGCUUAGAGGAGUAUGUAAGAGUCAUAUGUAGCUGGUGCAGGAGGUGCCAGCCUCCUGUCUCCUGAUGCCAGCUGAGGCCAGCCCUACUCCAAUGAGCCGGCACCUCAUAGCUCCAGGCACAUCUUGCUCUCAUGCAUUCUCCUUUCUCAGUUCUGGACUUUUCCAAGGAGAAGCCCCUUGUUGUAUAAUAAAAAAUUAGGGGAGAUUUAAAAAUCCUUGAACUUCCCCAGUGCCUUUGUUAUUCAUGAGCCCCUCAGGUACCACCUGAGUUUGUGUUAAUGAGGUGACUCCUGGUGAGCCCCUAGAAAGCUUCAGGAUGGGGGCUGGUUGCCAGGGGAACCAAUCCGGUGAUUAGAGGGUGGGACUCUGAGCCAGCCUGAUUUCUGGGGAGGGGGAUGGCUAGAGAUUCAUUCAGUCAAUCGUGUGGCCAGUGAUUUUAUCAAUUAUGCCUACGUAAUGAAACCCCACUAAAACCGCUGGGCACUCAGACUCAGUGGAGCAUCUCAGUUGGUAGACACAUUGAUGUGCCCAGAAGGCGACGGACCCUGACUCCACAAGGAGGGGCACAAAAGCUCUGUGUUCAGGACCCUCCCAGACCUUGCCCUAUGCAUCUCCUCAUUUGUCUGUCCCUGAGUUGCAUCCUUUAUAACAAAACUGUAAAUAUAAGUAUAGCACUUUCCUGAGCUGUGUGACUUGACCUGAGGGGGUUGUGGGAGCCCCUGAGUUUGUAGCUAGUCAAUCAGAAGUGUGGGUUGGCUGCGCAUCUCCUGAACUUGUGUCUGGCUUCUGAAGUGGGGACAGUUGGAGCCGAGUGGGGUCUGUGCUAACAUCACCAUCUGAGUGGAGAGGCCAGCAUUGAACUGCGGGACACCAGCUGGGAAUGGUGUCAGAGCGCCUCCUUUCCUGUAUCCCCUUCGCACUCCUUUGAAGGGGAAACUCUGUGUCUGAAGGAAGCUAGAAUCCUAGUGCACGUGGCCAGCAAGGAUGGAUUAAAACCAGCUUAUUUGUAAAAACCUUCCUUCUGGCUCCAUGUUAAAUCCACUUGAUUUAGGGUCGCCUCGGAACACAUUUCAAACCAGCUGGAUCGUCGCCAUCGUGGAAGCUGCCGGGUGUUCCGUAGGAACAAUGGGAAGUGACACUGAAGCCUCUGGAACUGCACAGUCAGUGAAGGCACCCCAGGUCAAGGCAACCUAAGGAGAGAUUGUUCUUUGACCUUCUGUCUUAUAAGUCAAUGGCACGUUCUGUCCUCCCAACUGCCUUGGAGGCUCAGGAGAGAGUGUUUUUUGUCACUAUCCUAUAGACGGGGCAGAGAUAAACUGCAAAUUCUCUGAAGUCAGGGACGAGCUUAACCUACCGCUGGGCGUGGAGGAAGGAUGGAAGCAGUGUGGAAAGAAGUGUAAGAUUUGGGGACAGGAUACACAACAGUAACUUGUCAGAAGAGAACAUCCUCCUAUCAGUUCAAAACAACAUGGGAAACCAGGUUACAAGACAGCUCAGACUCUGCGACAAUCACGUGCUCUUGGCCGGGGAGCGUGCAGCCUCGAGC